RNAcentral lists this ribosomal RNA (465 nucleotides) under uncultured bacterium. Its description in RNAcentral is "partial 16S ribosomal RNA". It matches the Rfam family "Bacterial small subunit ribosomal RNA", at positions 338 to 795 of the family's 1533-position model. The record is from RNAcentral.
CCUACGGGAGGCAGCAGUAGGGAAUCUUCCACAAUGGGCGCAAGCCUGAUGGAGCAACACCGCGUGAGUGAAGAAGGGUUUCGGCUCGUAAAGCUCUGUUGUUGGAGAAGAACGUGCGUGAGAGUAACUGUUCACGCAGUGACGGUAUCCAACCAGAAAGUCACGGCUCACUACGUGCCAGCAGCCGAGGUAAUAAGUAGGAGGCAAGCGUUAUCCGGAGUUAUUGGGCGUAAAGCGAGCGCAGGCGGUUGCUUAGGUCUGAUGUGAAAGCCUUCGGCUUAACCGAAGAAGUGCAUCGGAAACCGGGCAACUUGAGUUCAGGAGAGGACAGUGGAACUCCAUGUGUAGCGGUGGAAUGCGUAGAUAUAUGGAAGAACACCAGUGGCGAAGGCGGCUGUCUGGUCUGCAACUGACGCUGAGGCUCGAAAGCAUGGGUAGCGAACAGGAUUAGAUACCCGUGUAGUC